RNAcentral lists this long non-coding RNA (967 nucleotides) under Chrysemys picta bellii (western painted turtle). Its description in RNAcentral is "lncRNA (ENSCPBG00000007253.1)". Lineage: Eukaryota; Metazoa; Chordata; Testudines; Emydidae. The record is from RNAcentral.
GCAUUGAAUUUUGGGAAUACUCGCUUCUUCUUUUUCCACAAAGGAGGGAGGUCCUAUGACAAGAAGUAGCAUUUAUAAAAAAUCAAGAUUCAUUCAAUUCAGACAAAGCUUCCCUAUAAGAUGUAUAUCAGAAUAAAUAUGAUACAGUAUGAAACUGGAGAAUAGCUAAGAGCGUCUUACUCAAGACAAUAGUUAAUCCAACUACUAUUGUUAUUACUAAGAAGAAAUACAAACACAGUUGUUACAUGACAAAGGGGAGGGGGAUAUUUUUGCACUCUACUCCUUGUGGAUUUCUGGCUUUAAAGAGCCAUAGGAGUACACAGUAUGUGUUUGAAGUUACCUUCUAAAAUGUUCAUGUAUUAAUUUAAAGUACCAACUUUCUAGUACAUAUUACUGAAAAUCUCAAGCUCAGCCCACAAAGGAAGGAAGAUUGAAUUCUAAAAUGGUCUGACCAUUUCUCCAAGGGGUUUUCAUAUGCAAAGCAUGCAUCAGCCACAUCCAUGCUAUCUCCUAAAGCAGUCAUUCUGAAACCCAAUCUGGGGACAGUGCAGACUAAAUAAAAUUUCAUUUUGAUUUGGCCUCCCGCUGAGAAUGGGACUGCUUUGUUUCAGCCGACAGAACCAGCAAGCCAGAAAGGUGUUGAAUACACAAACACUGACUUAACGGAAAAUUAUGGUCAUCGUGGUAAGGGAAAUAUUUUUAUCUGGGCCUCAGGAAAUGGUGGUCUGGCUAAUGAUCACAGCAGUGCUGAGGGUUCUGUGAACAGUAUUUGCACAUUGGCAGCUGGUGCCAUCACUGACCUCCACCUCACAACUCCCUCUACAAGGUCUGCUCAGCAAUGAUAGCUGUGGUUCCUACAGAAGUAUCCGGUGAGGUACCAGUGUGGUGGACAGGACCCUGAAACAGGACUUCAAUUUAGAGCAGGGUGAGUCGCAAUGUGUGAAUAAAAUAUUGAUGUGGCCAGCCA